UACGAAGGGGGCUAGCGUUGCUCGGAAUUACUGGGCGUAAAGGGCGCGUAGGCGGAUAGCUUAGUCAGAGGUGAAAGCCCAGGGCUCAACCUUGGAAUUGCCUUUGAUACUGGCUGUCUUGAGUUCGGGAGAGGUGAGUGGAAUGCCGAGUGUAGAGGUGAAAUUCGUAGAUAUUCGGCGGAACACCAGUGGCGAAGGCGACUCACUGGCCCGAUACUGACGCUGAGGCGCGAAAGCCAGGGGAGCAAACGGG
RNAcentral lists this ribosomal RNA (253 nucleotides) under uncultured bacterium. RNAcentral's name for it is "partial 16S ribosomal RNA". It matches the Rfam family "Bacterial small subunit ribosomal RNA", at positions 524 to 776 of the family's 1533-position model. The record is from RNAcentral.